GACGAACGCUGGCGGCGUGCCUAAUGCAUGCAAGUCGCACGGGUCUCCUUCGGGAGGUCAGUGGCGAACGGCUGAGGAACACGUGGGGACCUAUCUUUCAGUGGGGGACAACACCGCGAAAGCGGUGCUAAUCCCGCAUACGCUCUGCGGAGGAAAGCGUGGCAACACGCGCUGAAGACUGGCCCUGCGGCCCAUCAGGUAGUUGGCGGGGUAACGGCCCACCAAGCCCGUGACGGGUCGCUGGUCUGUGAGGACGACCAGCCAGACUGGGACUGAGAUACGGCCCAGACUCCUACGGGAGGCAGCAGCAAGGAAUUUUCGGCAAUGGGCGCAAGCCUGACCGAGCAACGCCGCGUGCGGGAUGACGGCAUUCGGGUUGUAAACCGCUUUUGGGGGGGAAGAAACAGACGGUACCCCCCGAAUCAGCCCCGGCUAACUCUGU
Molecule: ribosomal RNA, 442 nt
Filed under: uncultured bacterium
Lineage: Bacteria
Description: partial 16S ribosomal RNA
Rfam family: Bacterial small subunit ribosomal RNA
Source: RNAcentral